This 608-nucleotide ribosomal RNA is filed under the name Entoloma sp. TRTC156878. RNAcentral's name for it is "eukaryotic LSU rRNA". The stretch from base 264 to 417 matches the Rfam family "5.8S ribosomal RNA". The record is from RNAcentral. Lineage: Eukaryota; Fungi; Basidiomycota; Agaricomycetes; Agaricales; Entolomataceae.
CAUUAUUGAAUAAACUUGAAAUAAAUUGUUGCUGGCUUUGUUAAAGCAUGUGCACAUUUGUUUCAUUUUUUAAAAUCUCUUGUGCACUUGUGUAAAUCUGAAUAUCUUGAAAGGAGUUUUUUCUACUUCCUUCAGUUUGAGAAUUGUCAUGCUAUUAAGUUGGGCUUUUCUUGUUUCAGAUUUAUGUUUUGAUACACACCUCUGAAAUAUAUUAGAAUGUUUGUUAUAUUGGCUUUUAUUAUGCCUUUAAAAUAUAUAUAUACAACUUUCAACAACGGAUCUCUUGGCUCUCGCAUCGAUGAAGAACGCAGCGAAAUGCGAUAAGUAAUGUGAAUUGCAGAAUUCAGUGAAUCAUCGAAUCUUUGAACGCACCUUGCGCUUCUUGGUAUUCCGAGGAGCAUGCCUGUUUGAGUGUCAUAAAAUUUCUCAAAGUUUAUCUCACUUAUUAGUUAGAUAGACAUGGAUUAUGGGAGUUGCUGGCUUUAUUAAAAGUUAGCUCUUCUUAAAUAUAUUAGCAAAAUUAUAGCUGAUCAUCAUUUGAUAUGAUAAUUAUCUAUAUCAUUGAUGAAUAGCAUUUUGCUUCUAACACUAUUUGAUUCUUUUGACCU